This 510-nucleotide ribosomal RNA is filed under the name Curvularia lunata. RNAcentral describes it as "eukaryotic LSU rRNA". The stretch from base 210 to 363 matches the Rfam family "5.8S ribosomal RNA". The record is from RNAcentral. Lineage: Eukaryota; Fungi; Ascomycota; Dothideomycetes; Pleosporales; Pleosporaceae.
GUAAAAGUCGUAACAAGGUCUCCGUAGGUGAACCUGCGGAGGGAUCAUUACACAAAUACAAUAUGAAGGCUUCGGCUGGAUUAUUUAUUUCACCCUUGUCUUUUGCGCACUUGUUGUUUCCUGGGCGGGUUCGCCCGCCACCAGGACCACACCAUAAACCUUUUUUGUUAAUGCAGUCAGCGUCAGUACAACAAAUGUAAAUCAUUUACAACUUUCAACAACGGAUCUCUUGGUUCUGGCAUCGAUGAAGAACGCAGCGAAAUGCGAUACGUAGUGUGAAUUGCAGAAUUCAGUGAAUCAUCGAAUCUUUGAACGCACAUUGCGCCCUUUGGUAUUCCAAAGGGCAUGCCUGUUCGAGCGUCAUUUGUACCCUCAAGCUUUGCUUGGUGUUGGGCGUUUUGUCUUUGCUCGCCAAAGACUCGCCUUAAAACGAUUGGCAGCCGACCUCUUGGUUUCGCAGCGCAGCACAAUUUUGCGCUUGCAAAUCAGCAAGUUGGCACUCCAUCAAGA